This is a non-coding RNA of Punica granatum (pomegranate), 3613 nucleotides long. NCBI's taxonomy places the organism in Eukaryota, Viridiplantae, Streptophyta, Magnoliopsida, Myrtales, Lythraceae. The record is from RefSeq and is a predicted model, not a curated record.
AGAGAGAGAAGAAAAUAAAAACCAGAACCUUUUUUUGCUUCGGUUCUCAUCUCCGUGAGAACAACAACAGAAGUAAGAUAAGGAAUUAAUGUUGUCGGCCUCCGGGCUGAUGUAAAAAUCCCCCCUUUGUAUGCUCUGUUGUAUGUACGUAUACCUGUACGUAUACGCCGGGAUUGGUCGGAUCAGCUCUGUGGCGAGGUUCUCGCCCGGUAUAUGUUUGUUUUUCAAGAAUUUGACUGGUAAAGGGCCCCCCUUUGAAUGCGAGGAAAUGGAGGUAGGAGGAAGGAACGAACUUCUAUGGGGUGAUCUCUGAUGUGGGUUUUGCUCAUCUGAAACCCUAGACCUCUUUACUCUUCAGCUGGAGGGUACGUCCCUUUGGCCCUCGAUUGAAGGUUAGGGCUGUGAUAGUGAUUCUGCGGCUCUGAGCUGAGCUUUUAGAUCUAUUCGGCUCGUCACCGCUUGGUGAUCUUGGCCCGUUCUUGAUACUGAACUCUGUCUGUAAACUGAGGAAUUGGAGGGUUCUUGUAUGCCCGAUUGAUGCUGCUGCUUUCCAUUUCUGGUGCAUCUUGGUUGGUUCUGGAUACAGAUUAAAGAAUUGUGUCUGUAACCUGAGGAAUACACAAUUUUGCUGAAGAAGAACCUCUGUAUAGUCUUACAAGGUAACUGGGUAUAUCAGGGUUCGGUUUCUUGGAGGGUUUAGAUAGACCUCUGCUCAGCAAAUUUAGAUGUAAUUAGUUUUUAAUGGACAGUGGUGGAAGUUAACAGUUGUGUAGGCAUAGGAGUUCUUGCGUUUAUUUGCUGCAAGUCAGAAUUUUUUUCGUUGUUUUUAUUGUAGUCUGAAGUCUAUUAUGCACCCGAGGCACCGGAGUCCCGGAAACGGGUAUAGGUCUAACCCAAUGGGGAUAGGCAUGGCCUCUCGGAUAUCCCCAGAAUCUUCGGGGAGAGGUCAUAACUUUUACAACUCAGAAUAUCGGAGCUUCAAUCGGAGCUUCGGCCGGAGCUAUAGCCAACCAAAACCAUUCCACCCCUCGCCACCACCGCGGCCACCACAGCAUCCUGUGGCGGCUCCUCUUAGAAAAGCUGAUUUAUUCAUGGAGGCCGGUAGGCUUGCAGCUGAGUACUUGGUGUAUCAGGGGAUGUUGCCGUCUGGCGCACUCUUAGGGAAGUGGCAGAAUGGUAAUUUCAAGGAGCCGCAGGAGUUCAGGUCUCAAGAAGGGGAUGCUGGUCAUAACAUGCAAUUUCCAGUUGAGGGCCGAGGAUCUUCUCUUGGCAGAUCGGGGGAUUCGGGAAGUGAUGGGGGACCAAGCAGGAGAAGGUAUUCUGAUGAGUAUGGGCCUGCAGGAUUUAGAAACAACACAAAGGGGAAGAGGAGAGGAGGAUCAUUUAGGGGAUAUAACUCCGAGUGGGGCCGCGAAUAUGGAAGGAGCAGCUCAUGGUCUGAUCGGCGUAGGGGGUCACCCAGUAUAGAUGCUGAUCGUGAAUACAAUUCAGGGAACCGAGAGGAGCAGUCUGUUACCAAAAAUGACGGCAAUUUGAUGCAGAAGUCAAGUAAUGAAGUGAUGAAGAAUGAAGAAAGCGGUGGAGUUCAAGAAUCUGAAACUAAAGAGCACGAAUCAAAAGCAACCUCUUCUGUUUCCGAGAAGGAAGUCCGAGAUGAGACUGAUGGAGCAGGAGGAGGAGGAGGAGGAGGAGGAGGAGGUGAGCCCCUGAAUAAGAACGAUGAGUUGAGUAUCCCGAAGGAAAAUACUGAUGAAAUGAAGGACAAAGAUGACCCUAGUGAUGGAGAAACUAGGAAAGAGAUCAUUUCUGAGGAGUUGCUUGAGAACAAGCCCUCAGAGAAGCUCUCAGUAACUGAUUUACAGAGUCUCUGCAAAUUUGCCAACAUGCCCACAAAAACCCGAUCUGUGAGGGGCGCGAGGGUGAGCGAAGAGGAGAAAAAUUGUGAUGCCAGUACUUCUCAGGUGUCUGAGGUCUUGAUGGAAGAUAAGGCAGUUGAUAGUUCCAUAAAAAAUGUUGGUGAAACAAGAGGCCUUGAGCUUGAAAUCUCUGAAGUGGGGACUCUUCAGGCUGCUGAGGUAGUCAAUCCAGUGGAUAGAUCUUUGAUGCUUGACGACAAUCAGGAAGUGAGCGAGAAGAGAGGCGAGAAACGGGUGAUUGAAGAAAGUAAUACCAAUGAGGACAUUAAAAGACUUAGAGAAUGGCUCCCUUCGAUGGAUGCUGAGGUUGCAGGCGGGCCCACGACUGAUGAGAAACCAAUUAUGGUUGUUGAGCAACACCAAGAGAGCACAAAGAAUAACCCUCAGAUGUCUGAAAUCGGUGAGGAAUCAUUUGCACAGGAGAAGCAGCUCUUCCCUAGCUCAUUUAAGAUCUGUGACCUCAAUCUCAUGGAAACUUCUGAUGCGAAUGAAACCCGCGACAGAGAUCCGAUCUUCAUGUUCCCACCAGUGACAGAUUUCAAGAAGGAAGUAGGGCCAGUCGACAUUGACCUCUCGAUUAGUAACUCUAGCAUGUCUUCUCAGCCUGCUAAGAAGGUGGAUGACACUGAUCAGGCAAUUGAAGUGAUCAACUUGGAUGAAGACUCUGCUCCAGAAGACAGGGAAUUCGACAUCACCGAGAGAAAGCCAGAUGUUGCAUUCACCGGCUUGGAUGGGUUCUCCACAAACCCCGUGCAGAAUGCCACUGAUAUUCCCGAUAAUCAGGAUGGAUAUGGGCUCAUGAUAUCUGAGCUGCUGGCAAAUGAAUUUUCUGGCUGUUCAUCGGUGCCUGAGGAGAUAAAUCCUCUAGACAACAUGGGCCUCAAUGGUGGAGCGGGUCCUCUGGGAGAUGAUGACUCGAUAUACAUGUCAUUGGGCGAAAUACCAUUCUUAAAGUAGUCUGAUUUGGAAAUUUAAGCAAUCAAGAGGCAGUACCAAAUUCCUUUUUGAAGAGCUAGAGGUAGAUGGAGCUAAAGCUUUGAUCUUAGAAGCCGUGGAAUGCCUGAUAAUCCAAAUACUAUUUUAUGAAGUUUCAUGCGGACGUGGGAGCAACCGCCGCCACAGGAGGAUGGGAAGCCCUUCUGAACAAUGACCCUGCUCUUCUUUACAUAAUAGAACAUGCAUAGUCUCGAGAUGGAGCAAUCAGUAUAUGUGACCCUGCUCCGUAUUCAUAGGUUUCCUCUUUCUUGCCUGCGGCAGCUACUAUGGAGGAGAGGAAAACAACUGCAAUUUCUCCCACAGAAGCUAUUUAGAGAUGUUGGAUGCUCUGUUGCUGCUUUACUGUAUGGACUCCAAAGUUUUUAUCGUGUUAAUUGAUAGAGUCAGUUCUUGGAAGUCUUCGUCUUGGGAUUUUGCUUAAUGUCUUGGGAUAUGGCUAAACGACUGGCAGCUGGUGAGUGGUUCAUGACCGAGAUAGGACUUGAAGUAUGUCUGCGGCAACUCGAGAAAUUUCCGAUUGCCUCGAAAGACUAACCACUUAGAUCUGGGUCAUUCAUUUUUCAUUCUGCACAAAAGGAAGGGAAAGUUUAGUAGCGGUUGCAUUUUCAUGCUAGAGCCAGUAGACAUGGUUGGGUAGGGAUUUCUUAAGGCACCAAGUACUGUACCGGUGCUUUUCAGUUCGACAUGCUACGUUUUAUGAA